GGUUGGUCCAAGUGCAGUGGUGUUUACAACUAAUUGAUCACAAUCAGUUACAAAUUCCUUUGUUCCUUUUCCACUCCCACUGCUUCACUUGACAAGCCUUUA
This is an unclassified non-coding RNA of Microcebus murinus (gray mouse lemur), 102 nucleotides long. It matches the Rfam family "Y RNA". Rfam says of the family: Y RNAs are components of the Ro ribonucleoprotein particle (Ro RNP), in association with Ro60 and La proteins. The Y RNAs and Ro60 and La proteins are well conserved, but the function of the Ro RNP is not known. The record is from Ensembl. NCBI's taxonomy places the organism in Eukaryota, Metazoa, Chordata, Mammalia, Primates, Cheirogaleidae.